AGAUCCUGUUUCUGUAUGCAAAAUAAAGAUUGGAAGAAGACUGCAAAAUGUUGUCAUUCAAGUCCUUUAAUGUAGCAAAUGAAAAAAUCUGACACAGUGCUGUGGCACAUUCAGGGUUUUUUGGUCUAAAAUCCACUAGCUCCAACUGGGACAAGAUUGUGUACAGCAAGUAGGUAACACUUGUAUUGAAAUUCAUCUCAGCUUUGCUCAUGUGCAGUCAGUAUCUUUAAUUUUUCUUUAUAGUGCAGGUAACUUGGGAGCAAUAUGAAGAUCCUCUAUGAAUUAUAAUUAGAUUCAAUACAGUAUGAAUGUCAAAGAGCUGCUGUUUUGAUGGUCAGUGUUUGAGCUGCAUGCUGCCUCCUUUGCCUUCCAGUGUAAAGAGUUCAGUUUAGUUUGGUUUGAUGCCCCUAGGGUACAGGUAAUAAUGAAAAUGCUGCUAUGGCCACUCAACUUAUUUGUAAGCUCUGUAAUCUUCCUGAAGGUGUGGUUUUUCUUCCUAAUAUACUAUUAAUUUUAUAAUUAUUUUACAACUCCUUGUUCAUCUACUUCCCUGGUUUGGUAUCUGGGGCACUUCCAUUUUCUUACUUCAAUUUGCACAAAGGAGAAGUCAUCCAGCCCUUAUGCCUUUUGAAAUAGUGGGUUUCAAUUCUACACAUGCCAGGAUGUGGGAAUCCCCAUGUCCAUGGGGUUUUUUGGGUAGAUGAGACAUGUUAUAGCUGUCAUUCUACAAUUACAACUGAACUCCAUUUUCUCUUUUAGCAUACAUUACAAGCAUUUGAUAUAGGUGUUUAACUGAUUUUGAAGUGUUCACAUCUUGGCCUUAACUGCCAUUGUUGCUUGUCUUUCCACUUAAAUGUCAAGAGUAAUUCUGGUUUCUAACCUCUCAUUGACCUGAUAGGUAGUGCUUGCCCAGUGCUUGAUGGAAAUGUCUCAUUUGGAUUAAUAAACCUGUGUGUCCAUGGCAGUGGACCUAAUUUGCAUUUAGAGGAUGGAGCUGGGCUGAUUCCCCUGUGGAAGCAAGUCUUUGUGCUGCCUCCUGAAAUCUUGGCUGUUCGGGAUGUUGAAGAUUCUCCAAAACAACAUGGAUACAUUUCUCAGAAGCUCCAGGUGUCUGUUUGGGUGAGAUUUUCAUCAAUCAGCAGUGUGAUACAGAGGCAGUGGAACAUGUACAGAGAUCAUGGACUUUGCAAAGGACAUCCUCUGUCUACAGAUGUAAAUAUUUUGAGCAACCUUUUAGUGUCACAAGCCUGACUCUCCAAGGACAUAUCAUUAGUGCAUCUGUGAUGGCCUUUGGGAAAUCCUCCUGCCUAGUGCCAUUGAAAACUUCUGUCUGGAAUUGUCAUCACACUCCCAAAGGCAGGUGCCUGACUACGGGUGACAGGUUAGUCCAUGCAGUGCUGGAACCCCCAAACCUGCCCCUUGCUCAGAACUGAGCCAUUUGGGAACAUCCUUUGUGUCAGUCCCCAUCUUUCAAAGCCCUGCCCUAUCCCUUCCUCCUCCUCCAGUGCAACGUCGUGGCUGUGCCUGGUCAUCAUUUACAUGUAAACUCUGGAGCAUGGGGAGGGGUUUGAGCUGCCACCUGUGCUCAAACUGAACACAACAGAACACAUUCUGCAGAGAGAGGAGAAAGAGCUGCCCCUGCCCAGGGACGGGGAGCAGUUGUAAUGGGAUUUACCAGUGCAGUGCAGCAUGGUCUAAUAACCAUCUUCCAUUCAAUACACACCAGUUAAAUUAAGAGCUUGUGCUUUUCCAGAAGUCAGGGGAAGCGAGUAAAAUUUUCAGUGCCUUUUAGCUAGAAGGGAUGAACGCAGCCUGAUUCCUCCUACCCACUCUAGCUCCUUUUAAGAGAUUUUUGUGAGUUGUGUGCAUCUCAACUCCUGUUUUAGUAGCGAUGUCAUUUUUCUGCUUACUCAGGAAAGUUGCAAAUAAGGGAGACUCAAACUUCUCACAGAAAUGGGGAGGGUGAAGCAGUGUGGAUGGGGCAGAGGAAAAAAAGAAAAAAAAAAAAAAAAAAAAAAAAAGGGGGGGGGGGGGGGGGGGGGGGGGGGGGGGGGGGGGGGGGGGGGGGGGGGGGGGGGGGGGGGGGGGGGGGGGGGGGGGGGGGGGGGGG
Molecule: long non-coding RNA, 2110 nt
Filed under: Ficedula albicollis (Collared flycatcher)
Lineage: Eukaryota; Metazoa; Chordata; Aves; Passeriformes; Muscicapidae
Description: lncRNA (ENSFALG00000027230.1)
Source: RNAcentral